UAUAUAUAUAUAUAUAUAUAUAUAUAUAUAUAUAUAUCUUGAAAAUAAUUCUAAAAGUAUGUCAUUUGAAAUCUAUCCGUCUAUUCGUUUACUUCAAUUCACGAUUGAAACGAUUUUGCACACGUGAUCGAUUGAAGUGGUUUGAAAUCGAUAAUAAAUCCAAUAUAUAUCGAUAAAUCGAUAAAUUGAAAAUAAAUAAGAUCAGAAUCUAAAUAUCGUAAAUUAUAUUAUAAAAGAAUUUUUUUUUUUUUUUAUUGUCGAUGUGUGGAAAAAUCAAGGCAAAUAAUAUAAUAUUUAGCAGUGUAUAUUACAUAACGAAUAAAUUGUUAUAAUUUAAAAGCAGAAUAUUCAAAGGAAUAAUCGAGCUUCGAGACUGAUCUCGUUUUCAAAUGCUUCCCAUCAUCAUCGCGCCAUCAUCUGGUUGGCCCAACGUAUUAAUAAUUGCCCGAUUGUGUAAUAAUCAAAAGCAAGAGGGACGGUAUCAUCCUUAAUCGAGAAUGAUAUAACGUUCCCUCCGAAGAAUAUAUGUACAUUUCUCGAGUCCGAUCUACUUGUACGUUCCCAAUGCUUCUUUUCGUUCUUUUUACUUCCAAUUAGCUGCGAGAUAUUGAUAAAGAUCUUUGAUACAUCGAGCACAGAGAUUACGAAAUAUUUUUAUCGUAAAACGAUUGAACCUGUAUACGAGUUGUAAGAUGAAGAGACACGAUGCGUCUGGGGGAGAAAAAAAUAAAUUGAAUCGGUACGAUAUGCAAUAAACCAGACUGAAAAAUCUGAAAAGCAAUAAUAUUGUUUGUUGAAAAGUAACGGAAAACGAGUUUCGAUGGAAUUCAGAAAAAGGUGCGUGUAAAAAUAAAGAUCGUAAAGAUGGGAAAAAUAUUUCAAGAUAAAUUAAAUAUCUUGAUCUCUUGACCGAUAAACUUUGAUUCAAUAUCUAUUAUUUUCGAUAAAUAAUAUCAUAAAUUAUCGUAGAGAAUGAUUUAAAGGUUAAUUUAAAUUUAAUUUGAUUAAAUACGUAUUGAAAUCUUCGUUAAAGAAUAAAAUAAAAGAAAAGAAUAAAGAAGAAAUUCGUUCGAUAAUCUUCGUUCGUUUUCGUCGACUAUUCGGCAAAAUUCGCCUAGUUUCGGUAACUAUUUCGGUAGUUUUCGGCGCUGCAGCGUUGAGCGAAGCGCGUCACUCAUUAUCAUGUCGAUUCAUCAGGUCCAAUGGCUGGCCGAUAAGAUAAGCUCCCGGAUCGUGUAAGUACACGCGUGCACAAUAAGCAAUCUUGUUUUAUCUAUCAACUACCGUGAACUUCCAUAUCGUGUGUAAAGUUCUCUCGUCUUCUUAUCAUCGUUCUAACGCCUCUGGAUACACAGAUCUGGUAAUUUUUAGGGGAAUUUUAAUGGAACGUUAUAAAUCCUUCAAAUUUUAUUUCUCACGCGAACCCACGAUUUUGAUAUUGAUUUUAACGAUAAUUUCAUUAUUGUACCACGUAAAUUAUUAAUAUUUAGUAACAUUAAUUUCUAAAUAUAAUUUCGUAGAUCGAUUUUUUUAGAUAUUUUCAAAGAUACGGUACAAGUCUAUCUACCAUGUUUGCCGCGUGUUUCAUUAUCGCAUUAAUGAAAGAACUAGGACACUAGAUAAUUUAUGAUUCUUAUCAACGUUAUCGUAUACCUCUAUCUGGUCGAAAAAUUGUUCAAAAUAAUUUUAUUUUGCCACGAAGAGAUCCACACUCGCCCGCGGUAAAGGUUAAUCGACCAUCUAACAAAAAUUACACAGAUCUCGAAGAUAAAUUCGAGCCGAAAAUGAAAAGGAAAGAAAGAAAUGAACGAGGAAGACGGCCCUGAAUUCCAUUCCUUCGACUUUUGUCCCUGCGCUAACGUCCCUGAGAGUUGAAGCAGUCGCAUCGCACCACGACGUAGACAUUUAGUUACACGCCACGAAUGUUAAUCCUCCUCGUCCUGCCUCCACUAACCUCUUCCACUUCGUAGAUCCGCGCCAAGAUCUCUUCGUGUCGAAUAUUCCAUCGUAUACUGGGUGACAAAUUUUCUUCGAUCACGACGACGAGGGAGAUUCGUAGACGGUGCGUAAUAGAAUUUUAUCCUGGAUACUAGAGGCUAGGGAAUUUUUCGAGAAAAAUAACUAUACGAGAUUUACUUAUCGAGCAAAUACAAUCUGUAACUAAAUUUUUUUUUGAAUUUAAAUUUGACAAAGAUUUAUUCCAAAAGGGAUAUUUAUACAUUAUUUGAUAUAAAUAAAAAUUAAAUUAUCUUCGUCAAAUUUUUUUAAUUUUUUCCCCAUUUCUUUGUGUCGAAAGAAGAGAACGACAUCGUAAUAAAUCGGCCUAGACAUCCUCGUUAAUUUCGAGGCUUAAUUCAGGUCGAGAGCGUUAUGUUUCUCAUCGAAUCCCGAGAAGCCUUCGUCCAGUUUUAAAGUCCUGAAAAUAACGAGGCAGCUGCUCACGUAUCCUGCAGAGCCUCGUCCUCUAUCACGUGUUUCCAGCCUCCCCUUAUAACCGUCUUUUCUUUUUCUUGUCUUUCUUGUUCUUCUCCUCUUUCUCUUCUUUCUUGAUCCUUCCCUUCUCUCCCCUCCCUCUUGAAUUCUUUUUCCUCUUUUUCCCCCUCCCUUUCUCUCGUUCCCUCCUUCUUUCUCUCUUUCUCUCUUUCUCUCUUUCUCUUGAUACCACUCCUCGGACGUUUCCUGUUUUCUUUAAUCUUUCUCUCGAAUCAUUGCAUCCCCUGUGCAUGCGGGCAUUUUUACGAUUCUUCGAUACAACAGGGUCGGCGAGAGAAUUCGAAGGGGAUUUUUCGAAGGUAGCAGAUGUUUUUUAAAUUAUAUUCGAUCGUGUAUAUUUUUCUACAUUUUUCUUUUUUUUUUUUUCUCUCAAUUUCGAGCAACUAACUCUUCCUCGCCCUGGGAAAGUUUCGGGUAUGUGGCAACGAGUUUUAUUAAAAUUAUUUCCCUGUAAUCUCGAUCGAGUCGCUGUCCUCCUUCUCCUCCUUCCUCCUCGCCCGUUUUCGAACAGGUUGCAGCAGCAAGAGAAGACGCUUUCGAACGGUUUUACGCAACCGAAAACGACUUUCGAAAAAUGUCGUCGGAUCGAAAUUCAUUUUCGAUGACAGAGAAGAUUAAAAUGAAAUGGAAGAGGAGGCGAUGUUCGACGGCGUCACGCUCGUAUCGAAAAAAAAAAGAAAAAGAAACGGACGAAUUUAUGAGAGGAUCGAUUCGAUGAGGCAAUCUUUUCUAUGUUACGUCUUUCUCGUAAUAUUUUUACGAUAGAAUUGGUAUGUACAAGAUCGAGAAUUCGAAGAUUUUUUUUUUAACGGUCUUCCUCCGUGACGCCAUCUUGUAAAAUGAAAUCAAUAUGCUUAUUCAAUAGAUUUAAUAUAAAAGAAAUUCUCUCUCUUUUGUAAAAUGUCGAUAUUUAAGAGAAUUUUUACGAUCAUUCUCGAAUUCCACUUGUGACGCCAUCUUAUAAAAUCAACUAUCAUAAAUUCUCUAAUUCUUUUACAGAUAUUUCAAUUCUUUUUUAACAAGGAGUCAGAAAAAUAAUAGAUGUCAAGAUUCGAGAAUUUUUGUCGAUCAUUCGUGCGCGCCAUCUUGCGUGUAAUCCACCAAACACAUCUCUUCGGAUAAUUUACGAACAUACCAUAGAAAUAUUUCGUAACGUUUGCCCUAUAUAAAAUUUAAUAAUGUUUAAAUUUUAUCAAACAUAACCGAAUUUUAAUCUUUUCCAACUUUAUAAUAAUACGAUCGUGAAAUAAUUUUCCACGGUGACGUGGUUCGUGUUCCGAGGACAUUUCGCGUGGAGAAUGAACCUUUUUCUUUUUUUUCUUUUUUUUUUUCUUCUCGUGGUUGUGGAUCGAAACUAGGCUUAACCAGUAAUCCAAUGAGUGUUGGGAAAUCCUUGUAACCGACGUAUCGUAAUCGGACUCUGAUGCGCGAAAGCUACACCUAUAUACUUAUUUGUGGCUCGUGACUGACUAAUGUCGCUGUUGGUCGCCUGGAUUUCCCACGUGUCACUCGGUUUCGAGUAAAUUUAGUCGGUAACCCGCCGUGCUCUGUUCUCUCUUUCCCUCCAGUGAUUCCUAACCUAUGAGAACGAGAUCAGGAAUGAAAUAAUUUUCUAAUCGAGUAAAAAAAAAAGUCAAGAGUGUGUUAAAUUUUUAAACAAAUUUUUUUUUUGAAGAAAAUUAUUAUAAUAAAUAGUUUUCGAUCUGUUGAUUAUUUAUAUCGAUGAAUAUCGGUUUUAAUUUUAUUAAUUUUUCUACAGCAUUUAAAAUGUGCUUUAUCAGAGGAAUGAUGAAACGUGGAAGUGGAACUCGAAUUUCGCGUAAUCAUCGUCGAAUAGGAAAAAUAAUAUCGGGGCUGAGUAAUCGGUUUGAAAUCGAAUAGGCGAUGAACCAUUCGCUGAUAAACGAGUAACGCUCGUGAAUUUUCGAGAACGUGUAUAUAUAUGUAUAUAUAGGAGGUUUGAAGAGUCGAUUGUAGAAAUUAACGUCGAGAUAAAUAUAUCGACGCAAGAGGUGAAAAUGCGUUUUAUUAAACGAGGAAUAUUGUUAAUUAACGAGACAUGGAAGGAAAUAAUUGAAAUAAUAUAAGUUAUAAUGAAUGCAUUACGACGAGUGACUUAACUAGCCGUGAAAGUAGUUGCAAAGAUAAUUCUAGCAUUAACCUGUAAUUAAUAUGCAAUCAUUGGAUUUAUUUCCAUGAAUGAAAAUUAAAAUAAUUAUUUAAAUCUCCAUUAUUUAUUUUAUUUUAUUUUAUUAUUUUUAUUAUUUUUUUUUUUCUCAUUUUAGAUCUCUUAGAUCCCGACUAGUUUGAAAUUCUCCAACUUUAAUUUUAACAAUUAAACUCGUCAAGUUGAGCGGCAUUAAAAAUGAUUUUUACAUUUACAUUUAUUUAAACGCGCGCUGCUGCUAUGACGAUGGAGGGAGCUACGUACAGAAAAGGAAGACUCUCGCGGCGAGGCCACAAGAAAAGUCAAAGAAGAGUCGGGAUGAGCGGAGAAAAAUUCGAAACUGGCCGUUAGUCCAGUCGAACGUAAUUACAGACCACGGUUCGACGCUUGUUAAUGGCUGUCGUUUCACCGCGAUGGGUUUAAUGGUGCUAGACAAAAAUUAUUUUCCGUGAAGUGGUAAUGGAGUUGGUAAAGUUAGGCGGUAGGCGAAUGCGAAAAGAUAGAAAGAGAAGAGCUCUCUUCUCAAAGCCUCUUAAGCGGUCAUCUCCUUGCAUCGGGCGAAUUGCCCGCGACCGGCCAAUUUAUAUACAUACACGUGAAGUCGUGGCAUCUAAAGGUCUGUCCACACUGAUAACGCGUAAGCAUCUAGUUUCUUUUCGAGGAACGCUAAUAGAAAGAAAAAUAAAUCAGAUAGCUUUCUAGGGAUCUAAUUUCUAAUCUAGAAAAAUAAUAUAAUAAUAAAAAUAGAAAAAUUCUGAAAUUUUUAGUUUUUUCCUAUCCAGAAAUUUAAUUUGUAAUCUAGGGAUGUAAAAAUCUAGGAACUUGCUUGAAAAGAAAUAUAGACCGAAUAGUUUUUCCUAUCUAGGGAUUUAAUUUCUAGUGAUGUAAGAAUCUAGGAAUUUGAAAGAUAGGCUAGAUUUCCUAUCUAGAAAAUGUAAGAAUUGUUCGAAAAGAAAGGUAGAGAUAGAUUUUCCUAUCUAGAUUUAAUUUUUAAUUUAAGGAUAUAAGAGAAUCUAAUAGGAAGAUCCUAAUAGAAAAUUUUUAAAUUUACUUUCAAUUUAAAGAAGUCUAGAGAAUUUUGUGCAAUAACAAUUUGACAAUUUAACGAAUUCAAGAAAAAUAAAAGGAUUACUUGGAUGAAUAAUUCGUUCCACUUUGCUAAACCUGUUAUCCGUAUCAAGUCGUUUGUCUUGUAGAAAGCCAUCGCGUCUCGAAUAUCGUUUCCUGUCGGACAAUCGAUCAAGAUGGGGCACUUAGUUGGAUGGAUUAUCUUAGAAUUCCAUUCGAAAUUCCUCGAAUUAUUCCCUCGUUUCACAAAUGCUAAUAAAGUUGACACUGCGUUUAGCAAAUCGACGAUGAUACUUCAUCCGUCUACGUUAUUCCUGUCUUUACGUUACACAGUAUUUACACAGACUUCAUUGUCAACCAACAACCUUUGAACCGUCUACUGUGCUACUUUAAAUAUCUUCCAUCCACUUCUAUUGGAAUGUAUUAGAAUAAACUGAUCUUCGAAAAAGGUUAUUUUUUAGCGAAAAAAAAAAAAAACCGAAAAAUCAAAGAGAAUUGAAAACUUGGAAACACAUAAACUUUCGUUCGAUCAUUUAUCGAUAUCGAUGGUAAUUCUACCGAUCAACCCUCCCCAUUGCCGUGUGCAGUCCCCUUUAGAGAGAGCCACGGCGGUCCCUGGGGCUGGAAUAUUGGCUGUUGUACGUUAUGUAGGUACCAGCGUGCAACCUGCGGUGCAACUUGUCAGCCAACAUCAUUAUCGAUGCCGGCUCGCCUCGAUCGAGAUCCGUGCUUUUAUCGCGACUUCGUUAUUUAUAUCUCGCUCCGCUUGCCAAUAACUAAUAGAGAUCCUUGCCUUCUUCUCCGCGCUGGCACAAGUCGAUAUCGUGCCACGAUUCCGUUUCAUCGGCCAUCUUGAAGCCCUCCCUCUCUUUAUCGCUCUGUUUCGUUAUCGACAGUCGCGAAUUUCUUUCCGACAAAUUACGGAACUUGAAUCAAUAAUUGGACUAUUGUUACAUUUCGCAAGAGCGAAAUGAAUUAGAUUCUAGAUUCUUUUUUUUUUUUUUUAUAUAGAUAAACUUCAUCGUUUUAAAACUGACAAAGUUACAUUUGUUGUAUUUCGUAAGUAUUAAUAAUUGGCCGAUUUAUAUAAAGAUAUGGAAAGUGACUGAGACCCUUCUUGCAUCCGAUUUAUAAUUUAUUUCGUGAGAGAUCAAAUUUUAUUUCACUCGUAUUAAUCACUCUAACCUCUGCGCUUCGUAAUUUAAGAACCAUAGGAUAUUACGUCACCUAACCUAAAACAACCUGAAAGACAAAGUAACCCAGAAAAUUUCAAAGAAGUUGGGCCAAGAUCCAAAAAUAUCCACUCAAAUUCUCGCUCAAAUCCAAGCUAAUCAAUCAUUCAAACCGAGGGUGAUCAAGGAGAAGUACGACCAUUCCCAACAGUCCAGGUCGAUUUGGAAAGAGAGAGCGAGCGAGAGAGAGAGAGAGAGAGAGAGAGGGAGACUUGGAGGUUGAAAAGCGCAAGCCAUACCUAUCACCGGAGGGUAGAGACCCCCGGAGUGAGGACGCAUGUGUUUCACACGUGUUCCACUAUCCCUCCUCCCUCUCCACCCUCAGUCCCGACCGACAAAAAACGCGAAAAACGUGCCACUCUCCUGGUGCAUCGUGUCGACUCGCAUGGUGGACGCAUCGCCAUAUGCAACCAUACGCUCCGGACAAUGUUCUGUAAUUGCACGUUUCGAAACGUGAGGGGAGGGGUGGGGGGAUUUUUCGUGUGCCGGCGAACCCGGUUCCCGCAAAAACGAUGUUCCGUCUGGUGGAAGCCGUUCCUUUUUGCUCGAGCCCGGCCCCAGAACCACUUCCUCUUCCUUUUCGGGAGCAAGACACGCCUCUCUCGAGGGAAAGAAAGAGAGAGAAAGAAAGGGCCUCCUUAAGGGCCGCCAGAACGAAAAGUUUCCUUUUUUCCUUCUAGAUAGUUCUUCCUCGCGAUCGUGUACAAGUUAACCUCUGAGAUAGUCGGUACGGGCAUGAUCUUGAUGGGAUAUGGACUCCUGGGAGCUUCUCGGGAGCUGAAAGCUGUUAAUGCAUUUCAUUAAUGAAAGAAUAUCGAUAUGUAUAGGUUAUAUUUUGGAUAAAGAAUGGAAAUUGAAGUGUAAACGUAGGAAAUAUGUGGAGGCAUAGAGAUAUAGGGAAUAUUACUAGGAUAUAUUACUAGGGAUAAAAAUGAUAUAUGUCCCUAUGAACUUAGGGAUAUAUAUAAAAUAAUAAAGAUAUAGAUGGAUAUAAUGAUAUAAGAUGAUACAAAAUAUAGACAUAUAUAAAAUAAAAAAAGGAUCUUCGAAUUAUUAUCGGAAAUACAUAUCGAUUAAUUAAUUUCCGCAAGAGGCUCGAAACAUGAAAACGUUUAUCUUUAUUUCCGCGAGCAGGCUCGCGUGAAAGCAACACCGGCGCACACGCGAGAAAGGAUGAUUCAUCGGAGUUAGCCUGUUGCAGACGGAUCGACCUCUUUUCCUCGAUGCACCGGUGUAGUAGCCGGUGUACAGGCGCAUGUAUCCAACUCGUGUGUAUAGGUAUAUCAUGGCCCCUCUGAAUGGUGUUAGUGCGCGCAACGACCUCUUUCCUCGCUACCGCAAACCGCAGGCGCAACCCAAUUUUUGCCCCGAAAAAACAACCGGUAGAACCUGAGUGUCCCUCGUCUCGCCGCUGGACACCGUCUGCGUAAAAGAGUUUUUUUUUUCUUACGGCCACGUAAGAUCGAAUUCGAGACGUUGGGUUACCAUUUUCGAUCGAUAUAGUUGAUUAUUAAUUCGAUUUGAUGUUGGAACAGGAAGAGAGAUAAGAUUGUUUUAAGGUUAGGUUUUGAAAUUUGAAUAUUUCUCUUUUUUUUUUUUUCUAUAUUUUACAGAAUCUUAGAAGAGAUCUCUUUGAAAAUUCAUUUUUUAGAAGUUAGCGCGCGAGUACAAUGAACCUGGUUGAUUCGUUCAGCUGAUUUUUUCCACCAACGUAAAACGCUUCCCCGUGAACGAGACUUUACACGGCAUUGACCGCGCGUGGUAACACCCAAAUAGCGAUGGUCUCGAGUUGCUCACGAUCAAAACAAUUUUAUUCGGUUAUCUUUCGAAUUUUCAGUUUAUCGUAUUUAUCGUGAUAUUUCUCCUUUCGUUUGAAUAUCUAUAAACUCGUAUUUUUGAAUUUUGAUUUUUAUUAUAUUCGAAAGAAUAAUAUAUUCAAAGAUUGAAAAGGUGAGCAUCCAACGCUACUCUCGAAGCUCGCGUGCACACCCGUUUCUUCUUUUUCUCUUCUUUCUUCCUUCGCUGUUCCAACGAUCCGUCUUAAUAUUCGAUCCAACGUUUCGUAUCUCGGAGGUCGGCGGUUUUCGCUUCCACGACCACAACCGCGUUGCACUUGUACUUAUAUAGGGACACGCUACUUUCCUCUUCGCGGUUGACGUGCUCGCAAAAUUUAUAUGGGCUUGCCUGUUAAUUAACGUCAAUGAAACGACCGAGUCGCGGCAUUUCGAUAAAAAAGUGCUGAUCGAUAAAGAACGGCCACGGACCAUGUGAAAUACAAGACUUAUUGAUGAUUUCUAGUGUUUUUCUGCUUGUUCCGAAGAAUAUAUAUUUUUUUCCAUUUUUUUUUCUUUCGAUAAAAGAAAUUGUGAAUUAUAGUAAAUAUUAUUUGGAAAAUUAGUAAUUUUUCUCUAGUGAUUUUUUUGAUCUUCAAAAACAAUUUAAUUACAUCUAGUGAAAUAUAUUUUCGCUUUUAAUAAACGUUUGUAAGCGUUUGUAUUGACCUCAUAAAUGCGUCAAUGUUCACCUGAUUUCCGUUCUCGUGCUAUUAAUAUUCGUGAGGUGAGUAUGGCGUGUUUCAUUUGACGAUAUACCGUCUUAAGUAUUAUACGAAAUUAACUUUAUUAAAUAUUAAUAUUCAUAACACGAUUCUAAUAUCCUUCCUUUAAGAAAAUGUGCGUUACAAUGAUUAAGUUUUUUCCAAGUCGAUUACCAAUCGAUUACUCAAUUUAAUUCGUGAUAAUAUUCGCUAUAUAUAUAUAUAUAUUAUUCUAUUAAUAAAAAAUAUAUAACGCAUUGAAAAAAAAAUAUUUUAAUAUCUUAAAUUAAUAUUUCUAUAAAUUUGAUUUUAUUUAACGAUUGGAAACAAAAAAGAAGCAAUUUCAAAUUCUUCCGUUUCUUAUCACAUUCCACGAGUGAGCGACCUAUCCACCAGACAGAGGAGGCGCGAGAGAUUGAAAGAGCGAUUGCGAUUCGAAGCGUCUGCGUGACACGGUGUCUCAUUAUUUGCGACUGAAGGAGGAGGAAUCAGUUGUCGGGACACGUAUUAGUCGCCGUACGUGGCGACAUCCGCUAAUCAAAUACAAGUGUUCGUCAGCAGUCCCGUAUUAUAGAGACGUAGACGUAGCGAAGUCUGUUUCCGAGCUCUGAUAGCUGCGAUAAAUACGCGUUUAAGCGCUCUAUAAUUGUUGUCGCGUGCGUUGCAUUUUUAAACCUUGCCGCCAUUCGUCGCCCUAUCCGAGGAACCGACGAAACACGACUUUUCACGAAGAUAGUCGAAUCUUUUUCUUUCGUAUGUCGAUACAAAUAUCGAUACAAGGAUCGAAGAAGAAAGCUGUAAAAAAUUUCUUUUGCAACAAGUGAUUGUUUUUCUUCGAAAUUUUAAUCUUUUUUUCAAAAUAUUCGAUAGCAAGUGACGAAUUAUUUACACAUUGGAUAAAUUCACUCGUUCGCACUCGUUUUUUCGGUUAAUCGAUACAUUCGAAUUCACUUGAAUAAAGGCGCGUAUAGUUUCAUAGGAAAAGGAUAUGAUUGGUCGACACAGAGAAUAUACGGCAACCGAGCUGACCGAUCAUGGGCCAUGGAUAGUCGUUGGGUCGGUUGAGCAGACCGUUGUAACAGUACCUCACGUGCCAUAGAGAUCCCAUAACCGGCUGCGCGUAAAAAAAUAUGCUUCGGUGCAAUCGGUCAGUUGGGAUGCAACCGAAGCGAAGAGCAUAGCCGAGCAACUGUGAAAAUAAGUGUAUAAUUUCUCUCUCACAUUCUUCUCGAUUCAAAGUUUCUUUUAAAGAAUUAUAAUGAAUUAUAAUUUUAAAGUAAAUUAAUUUUUUCGAUGUUUCUUCAAAUGAAGGUACGAAAUGAAAUUUAAUUAAUAAAAAUUUAUUAACAAUUAUUCAUUAAAAUUUUGAUGACAAAAUGAAUUUUCUAAAUGUCUUUUCUAAUAAAAAUUCCUUAAAAAAAAAAAAACUAAACUAAUACUAUUUCUACUACUUGAAAACUGCAUCUCGAUAAAAACUUCUUAGACUUCAAAAGAGAAUUAUCUUCUAAAAUUAUUUCUGCUUUUCUUCCAAAAGAUCCAACCGUAUUAUUGAUUUGAAAAUUGCAACUUUGACAGAUCUUGGAAAAUUCUGAGUCGGGUUCCGAAAGAAAAGCAAAGGAUUUGGGAAAAGUAUCGGUCCUAAAGUCAAGAAGAAAAAGAAGGAAGAGGAGGAAAGAAAUGGAGGGAGGGCCCAUAGCAGCUGGUCAAACAACUCUGAAGCCACUCGGGGCCCGGAUCUUCCAGAGAUCCUCGGUUGCACGUACGAGGUUACACGCGAGGGGCCCCUCCUCGUCCUCGCGCACGACCUCGAAGUUUUAAUUACUCGCCAGGGUAUCAUCCCCCUGCCAGGCCUCGUACGAGGUCAUCGUACGAGGAUCGCCUCUAAGAAACCGGGGGACGAGGAUGGGGAGACAUGUCCCGAUUCCUCCGCCUCGAGGAAGGAACACGAUGAUAGCUUGUUCAAAUUGCCAGUCUUUUCUUUUUUUUUUUCUUUUUUUUUUUUUUUUUAGUCCUUGUUGCCUGAUUAUUGAAACCUUGAUCCUCUUCCUCCGGGAGAAGUUUUUUUUUUUUUUUUUUAACAAGAAUUAAUUUUUGAUUCGAUUCGUAGAAUUUUUUUGAAUAGUCAAAAUUAUUAUAUGUUACAAAAAUUCGUAUAUUUUGGAAAAAAGUGUUUGGAAUUUUUCCUUUUUUUACCAAAAGAAUUUCAGAUUUCGAGUUUUCUCCUUCAAAGAAAAAUAGAAAGAGAUUUAAUCGUCGAUCCAAAAAUUCAUCAGUUCCUGAAAUUCUCUCUUCUUUAUAUAUAUAUGAUAAAAAAAGGAAAGAGAGAAGGAAAAAAAAGGUGAAGAAACGUGCAAACGAGCACCGCUUGCUGUUUGCAAAUGAAACACGCCCACGAUCUUCUCGGGGCAUGCGUGCUUAGCCGCGUAAACGUGUGACUCGCGGUUGAUCUAAACGAUCGUGAAUCACCGACCCACCUUGGGGGUUGCAGGGAACACGGAGAACGUCCAGGUAUCGUAAUUUCUCCCUUCGUUUCAUAUAUUACGUGAAACGAUGCUCGAGUCGUAGAUCCGUAUAUUUUCUUUUUUUCUCGUCUCACGUAAUUUCCAAGUUGAAUAGAAAAUUCUAUUUAUUGUAUCUUUUUCUACAUCCAUCCUUUGAUACAACAGGAAUAAUAUAAAAUCGUUCAAUUAAUUAACCAAAUAAUUGUUAAUAAAGAUAAUUAUUAUUUUAUUAUACAUAAAAAUUCCCUAUAUUUACAUAUAGUUCCCUAUACUUAUAAAAUUCCCUAUACUUAUAUAGUUCCCUAUACUUAUAUAGUUCCCUAUACUUAUAUAUUCCCUUUGUCCAAUAUACGAAAGCAAUAUAAACCGUCAAAAGAAAAAAUCACUAUGAAUUGUGAACUUUCAAAUACUUCGUGACGAUUAACUACUGAACCAAAACUUUAUAGGGAACCACUGUUGGCCGGAAGAAGAGAGGACUCGUGAAACGAAGAUGUGAAAGAUUAAUGUGAGAUUAAUACCAACGAAAAUUUGUAUCACUGUGAAUUGCAGUCUCAAUGAUGAAUAGUUAAGCAAGUUUAAGAAAGAGGAAAACUUUUAUUCAACUAUUACAACAUUGGAUACAAAAAUUUAUGCACGAGGAUGAAAUUGUGGCCAGAAGGAGAGAGAAUAACAGGGUAGAGUAUCGAGUGCAACCAAGUUUGAUGAUGGCGGUGUUGGUAGGCGGAUGACGAGGUGGUAGUGGUGAUGGUGGUGGGCCGUCACGCCACAUAGUGUGAUAGCUGCGCAUUAAACAGCCAACCCUGCACCCUUGGCCCAACCUACAAGCUCGAGUCCCGGAACCUGUGAGAUUCGAGAUCGAGAUUGAACUCCACCAGGGAUUCAGAGGACCUCUGGUUGCGCAGAAAAGCUUGACUGAUUCGUUUCAUCUUUCUCCUUCUUUUUUUUUAUUUCUCUAACUGUGAUACGUUACAAUGAAUAAUUGAUCUCUGUUAUUACUUCAAAGAUAGAGAAAUUUAAAAAUUUAAAAGAAUAAAUAUCAUCUUUUAAUAUUUUAAA
Molecule: long non-coding RNA, 13053 nt
Organism: Apis mellifera (honey bee)
Lineage: Eukaryota; Metazoa; Arthropoda; Insecta; Hymenoptera; Apidae
Exons: 2
Source: RefSeq, a predicted model, not a curated record